RNAcentral lists this ribosomal RNA (440 nucleotides) under uncultured Caulobacter sp. RNAcentral describes it as "bacterial SSU rRNA". It matches the Rfam family "Bacterial small subunit ribosomal RNA", at positions 338 to 795 of the family's 1533-position model. The record is from RNAcentral. Lineage: Bacteria; Pseudomonadati; Pseudomonadota; Alphaproteobacteria; Caulobacterales; Caulobacteraceae.
CCUACGGGAGGCUGCAGUGGGGAAUUUUGCGCAAUGGGCGAAAGCCUGACGCAGCCAUGCCGCGUGAAUGAUGAAGGUCUUAGGAUUGUAAAAUUCUUUCACCGGGGACGAUAAUGACGGUACCCGUAGAAGAAGCCCCGGCUAACUUCGUCCCAGCAGCCGCGGUAAUACGAAGGGGGCUAGCGUUGCUCGGAAUUACUGGGCGUAAGGGGAGCGUAGGCGGACUGUGAAGUUAGAGGUGAAAGCACAGGGCACAACCUUGCAAAUGCCUGUGACACUCGCAGUGUUGAGUACAGAAGUGGUAGGUGGAACUCCGAGUGUAGAGGUGAAAUUAGUAGAUAUUCGGAAGAACACCAGUGGCGAAGGCGCCAUACUGGUCCGUUACUGACGCUGAGGCUCGAAGGCGUGGGGAGCAAACAGGAUUAGUUACCCUGGUAGUC